This 984-nucleotide ribosomal RNA is filed under the name Salmonella enterica subsp. enterica serovar Huettwilen. RNAcentral describes it as "partial 23S ribosomal RNA". It matches the Rfam family "Bacterial large subunit ribosomal RNA", at positions 419 to 1298 of the family's 2925-position model. The record is from RNAcentral. Lineage: Bacteria; Pseudomonadati; Pseudomonadota; Gammaproteobacteria; Enterobacterales; Enterobacteriaceae.
GGGACACGUGGUAUCCUGUCUGAAUAUGGGGGGACCAUCCUCCAAGGCUAAAUACUCCUGACUGACCGAUAGUGAACCAGUACCGUGAGGGAAAGGCGAAAAGAACCCCGGCGAGGGGAGUGAAAAAGAACCUGAAACCGUGUACGUACAAGCAGUGGGAGCCCCACCACUAAGCCAGUGGUGAACUCCACAUACGCAUCCUUUGCUGAGGAUACGGUUAACGGAGCGAAAGCGACGUUCAACCGCAAAAGAAGCAGAGGGGGCUUAGUGGUGGGGUGACUGCGUACCUUUUGUAUAAUGGGUCAGCGACUUAUAUUCUGUAGCAAGGUUAACCGAAUAGGGGAGCCGGAGGGAAACCGAGUCUUAAUUGGGCGUUAAGUUGCAGGGUAUAGACCCGAAACCCGGUGAUCUAGCCAUGGGCAGGUUGAAGGUUGGGUAACACUAACUGGAGGACCGAACCGACUAAUGUUGAAAAAUUAGCGGAUGACCUGUGGCUGGGGGUGAAAGGCCAAUCAAACCGGGAGAUAGCUGGUUCUCCCCGAAAGCUAUUUAGGUAGCGCCUCGUGAAUUCAUCUCCGGGGGUAGAGCACUGUUUCGGCUAGGGGGCCAUCCCGGCUUACCAACCCGAUGCAAACUGCGAAUACCGGAGAAUGUUAUCACGGGAGACACACGGCGGGUGCUAACGUCCGUCGUGAAGAGGGAAACAACCCAGACCGCCAGCUAAGGUCCCAAAGUCAUGGUUAAGUGGGAAACGAUGUGGGAAGGCCCAGACAGCCAGGAUGUUGGCUUAGAAGCAGCCAUCAUUUAAAGAAAGCGUAAUAGCUCACUGGUCGAGUCGGCCUGCGCGGAAGAUGUAACGGGGCUAAACCAUGCACCGAAGCUGCGGCAGCGAACGUAUCACUUAAAGCGAUUCAGCGGGUUACGAUUGACGGAGCGAAGCGACGUCAAAGCGUAUACAAAGUCGAGUCGGUUUAAGGAUACGUU